GCCCCGUUAGCUCAGUGGCAGAGCGUGUCCAUCUCUUAUGGCAAGGCACUGGUUCGAUUCCAGUACGGGGCA
RNAcentral lists this transfer RNA (72 nucleotides) under Stachybotrys chartarum IBT 7711. Its description in RNAcentral is "tRNA-Arg (TCT) (tRNA-Arg-TCT-3-1)". It matches the Rfam family "tRNA". From Rfam's summary of the family: Transfer RNA (tRNA) molecules are approximately 80 nucleotides in length. The record is from RNAcentral. RNAcentral also lists the same sequence under 2 other names. Lineage: Eukaryota; Fungi; Ascomycota; Sordariomycetes; Hypocreales; Stachybotryaceae.